CAUUUGGUAGGAGUGGAUCGGAGGGGAUUUGAGCGGAAUUUCCUCGCGUGGCCCGGAAACCUCGCGAAACCACGAGGGCUCAUUUGAUACGCCGGGUUUCGACGGCCCAAUCCCUCAAAUCCCCCUCAGAUCCCUCGUUUCCACGUGGUUCAGAGCCCUCGAGGGGGGACUCGGGGAUUUGGAGGAGACGAGCCUGCCCGCCGCCCGCUCAACGUGCUGCCGCCCGACUCCUCCUCAAGACGCCGCCGCCCGACGCCUCGACGCCGGCGUACCUCCUCCUUCAUACUGGCCUUCGCCCCGACGAGCGAUUGGGGGCGGUCGAUGGCGAACAAGCCUAGGAGGAGGUUUAUCACCAGCAGCUCAUGAAGUACCUUGAUUCCCCGUCUCUCAAUCAUUGAUGUUGGCUCUCACUCCGGUGCCUCACGACAUAGCUGAGAUUUGCCAUGCAAGAUGACUCGUCGAAGAGGAUGUCUUCAUGUCCUGCCAGUUCAGCUCCUUGUUUGCGUGAUGAAUCCCCGCUGGAGCCCCUCUCUUCCAGAUAGCACAUGUGCCAGGAUCCUGGAGUUGACAAAACCAAGUCUAAGAGGAACUUGUUCGAUAACGUCAGCAACCUUCUCACCAAUUUGUUUUUUAGCGGCAACCUCAAGAAUAUGCUGGUUGCCGAAGGAAACGAAGUAAUCGGGUGGUGGUAGCAAGCAGGAGAAGAAACCAUCACAGAUUUGUCGGUUGGAGCCUACACAUUUUUCAAUAUUGUCAAGGUUGAGCUUUCUCUUUCUUUUUCAAAAAGGAAAAAGAAAAAAGCGGUUGAGUUUUCUCUUGAAGCUGCAAAGAAAUGCCACUCUGGGAAUAUGAUACUCUUCACCAG
Molecule: long non-coding RNA, 865 nt
Organism: Triticum dicoccoides
Lineage: Eukaryota; Viridiplantae; Streptophyta; Magnoliopsida; Poales; Poaceae
Exons: 6
Source: RefSeq, a predicted model, not a curated record